Molecule: ribosomal RNA, 263 nt
Filed under: Bifidobacterium longum
Lineage: Bacteria; Bacillati; Actinomycetota; Actinomycetes; Bifidobacteriales; Bifidobacteriaceae
Description: partial 16S ribosomal RNA
Rfam family: Bacterial small subunit ribosomal RNA
Source: RNAcentral
ACGGCGGGGUAACGGCCCACCGUGGCUUCGACGGGUAGCCGGCCUGAGAGGGCGACCGGCCACAUUGGGACUGAGAUACGGCCCAUACUCCUACGGGAGGCAGCAGUGGGGAAUAUUGCACAAUGGGCGCAAGCCUGAUGCAGCGACGCCGCGUGAGGGAUGGAGGCCUUCGGGUUGUAAACCUCUUUUAUCGGGGAGCAAGCGAGAGUGAGUUUACCCGUUGAAUAAGCACCGGCUAACUACGUGCCAGCAGCCGCGGUAAG